This 696-nucleotide ribosomal RNA is filed under the name uncultured bacterium. Its description in RNAcentral is "bacterial SSU rRNA". It matches the Rfam family "Bacterial small subunit ribosomal RNA", at positions 32 to 715 of the family's 1533-position model. The record is from RNAcentral.
AACGCUAGCUACAGGCUUAACACAUGCAAGUCGAGGGGAAACGACAUCGAAAGCUUGCUUUUGAUGGGCGUCGACCGGCGCACGGGUGAGUAACGCGUAUCCAACCUGCCCAUCACUUGGGGAUAACCUUGCGAAAGUAAGACUAAUACCCAAUGACGUCUCUAGAAGACAUCUGAAAGAGAUUAAAGAUUUAUCGGUGAUGGAUGGGGAUGCGUCUGAUUAGCUUGUUGGCGGGGUAACGGCCCACCAAGGCGACGAUCAGUAGGGGUUCUGAGAGGAAGGUCCCCCACAUUGGAACUGAGACACGGUCCAAACCCCUACGGGAGGCAGCAGUGAGGAAUAUUGGUCAAUGGACGAGAGUCUGAACCAGCCAAGUAGCGUGCAGGAUGACGGCCCUAUGGGUUGUAAACUGCUUUUAUAAGGGAAUAAAGUGAGUCUCGUGAGACUUUUUGCAUGUACCUUAUGAAUAAGGACCGGCUAAUUCCGUGCCAGCAGCCGCGGUAAUACGGAAGGUCCGGGCGUUAUCCGGAUUUAUUGGGUUUAAAGGGAGCGUAGGCUGGAGAUUAAGCGUGUUGUGAAAUGUAGAUGCUCAACAUCUGCACUGCAGCGCGAACUGGUUUCCUUGAGUACGCACAAAGUGGGCGGAAUUCGUGGUGUAGCGGUGAAAUGCUUAGAUAUCACGAAGAACUCCGAUUG